RNAcentral lists this ribosomal RNA (377 nucleotides) under uncultured bacterium. Its description in RNAcentral is "bacterial SSU rRNA". It matches the Rfam family "Bacterial small subunit ribosomal RNA", at positions 523 to 898 of the family's 1533-position model. The record is from RNAcentral.
AUACGUAGGGGGCAAGCGUUGUCCGGAAUCAUUGGGCGUAAAGGGCGCGUAGGCGGAUAUUUAAGUCUGAUGUGAAAACCUAGGGCUCAACCCUGGGACUGCAUCGGAAACUGGGUAUCUCGAGGACAGGAGAGGAAAGUGGAAUUCCACGUGUAGCGGUGAAAUGCGUAGAUAUGUGGAGGAACACCAGUGGCGAAGGCGACUUUCUGGACUGUAACUAACGCUGAGGCGCGAAAGCGUGGGGAGCAAACAGGAUUAGAUACCCUGGUAGUCCACGCCGUAAACGAUGAGUGCUAGGUGUAGAGGGUAUCGACCCCUUCUGUGCCGCAGUAAACACAAUAAGCACUCCGCCUGGGGAGUACGGCCGCAAGGCUGAA